GGGGACGCGUGGUUUCGACAGGGGAGGUAUGCUACAGGAUUGCAGGCUGAGGUUGCCAUCACCCUCAUUAAACCGGUGGCAAAACAUAACUGGCGAAGAACCAGUACUAGUCGCUGCCUAACUAAGAAAGGUAGCACAUCCAACCCGAUCUCUCCUCGGUGGGUUGGGAUUGGGUGAAAUAAUGCCGAGGUGCCACUACCCGGACGUCGAUAAGGGUGGUGAAAGAAAAAUCUGACUGGCCCGGCGUAACUCCGUCAGCAGAGGUUCACCGGGUAAGAACAAAGAGUUGACUAAGCCUGUAGGAUAUCCUGGGUAGUCUCUUCUGGACGGGGAGUUCGACUCUCCCCCGUCUCCACCA
This 358-nucleotide transfer-messenger RNA is filed under the name Chloroflexota bacterium. RNAcentral describes it as "Chloroflexi bacterium transfer-messenger RNA". It matches the Rfam family "transfer-messenger RNA". From Rfam's summary of the family: Bacterial tmRNA, also known as 10Sa RNA or SsrA, is named for its dual tRNA and mRNA-like properties. Its role is to liberate the mRNA from a stalled ribosome. To accomplish this part of the tmRNA is used as a reading frame that ends in a translation stop signal. Lineage: Bacteria; Bacillati; Chloroflexota. The record is from RNAcentral.